Molecule: ribosomal RNA, 150 nt
Filed under: uncultured Bacteroidota bacterium
Lineage: Bacteria; Pseudomonadati; Bacteroidota
Description: uncultured Bacteroidetes bacterium partial 16S ribosomal RNA
Rfam family: Bacterial small subunit ribosomal RNA
Source: RNAcentral
UGGACGAAAUCUGACGCAGCCAUGCCGCGUGNAGGANGAANGCCCUAUGGGUUGUAAACUGCUUUUCUGCAAGAAAAAACCUUACUACNUCGUACUAAAUUGACGGUACUUGNAUGAAUAACCACCGGCUAACUCCGUGCCAGCAGCCGC